UUUUUAAAGGGCAGAGAUGUGAAGGGUUACAGAGGAGUUCAUGCCCCACUGGUGGGACACAAAGAGGAAGGAUAAUUUUGGAAGUCGUGGGACAGUAAAAUAUUUGGAGCGACUGAAUACUGGCCCUUCACAGAUUCGAAUCCCCGGAGCCUGUGAACCGGUUGUAUUAUAGAGCAAAGAAGAUGAUAGUGAUGUCAGAUUGCAAGACUGAAAUCAGGGAGAUUAGCCCGAUUGUCACCGUGGGCCCAACUCAAUCAUAUGAACCCCUCAUAGCGGGUAAGCCAUUCAGCUUCUGACGUGGCAGUCAUAGAGAUCCAAAUGCCUUGAACUGCAUUGCUGGCCCCGAGUUGCAGGGACCACCCAUAAAGACUGGAAAGGGAAGACUAAGGUAACCUCCCUUAGCUAGUGGCAAGGAGCUAGAGAGCGCCACCGCACAAGUACACAGGCCUGAAGUCGGCCAACGCUCCCGGAGGGGGCGUGUUUCCCAGAUUCCUUCUUCACUCUAAAAGCCAACCAUCUGAUACCUUUGUCCUAGUCUCGUGUAUCCUACGGCAAAGACAGUACCUAAGCCAACUUGAGGGUUUUGGACCACAGAAGUGUGAGCUGACACGUCACGGUUGCUCCGAACGUGGUCUACACUCGCUGCCAUUUGUUACGGCAGCGACAGAAAACUAAUACGGAGGUAAAGGUGAAAAUCCCCCGACUCAGCAGUCCUGCUCCCAUCGGAGAAACGCGCCCCGAGACACUCGCAGAAACGCUUAGCACAGCACCAUUUGCCACAGUCUCAACCUGGAAAUGAUCCAAGUGCCGACAUCGUCUGCCUCAUGUUACAGUCUACGCAGGCAAUCCUACUGGAACUGAGUGGGGGCAAGGCGUCGUGUUUCUUACAUGCAGAACAUGGAGCUUCUUGAUUUGGUUCCACCAGCUCCCAUGUGCUCAGGGCCAUGGAAGCCAGAGUCCUUCACAGACAAGUGCGCCAUCUGCGAGGUUUCAUCGGCAGCCUUCCAGGGGUCCGGUUGAGGCAUCGAGACUGCUGUCUGUGUCUGAGGCCAGGGUGUGCUCAGUGGACAUGGAUGAGAUGUCAUUGAUGGAUGACGACUGAGAAGGAGUAGCCUUGCUGCUUACUGCUGCAUCUGUGCUAAGAAAACCAAACGGAGUAAAAUCUGAGGCACGGCAUCCUGCACGCCAGGCGUGGGGCUUCAGGCUACUUCUCCAUUCUGUGCUUGGUAGUUUCCGGAUCCUAAUGACCCACAGAACCAAGACUGCUCAACUACACUUUAAGCUUCUGGGAUUUUUCCUGGAGUCCUUUGUUAGUUCAGUUUCGAAAUCAGUCUUGGGCUUUCCCUACAAUAGUCCCCUGUUCUGCCCGCACCACGGGCAAUGUGUAUGUGGUCACAUAUGACCAUGUUGAUGACUUAAAAGAUAUACCUGCUAACUUCAAAUAGACCUUAAGAGAAAAUGGAUGAAUUCUCCCUACAACUACCACAAGAGGCUUAGGCCUGAGAAGGAUUCAAGUGUGAUGAACAUUUCAUCCACAAUAGACAAACCUCAUCUGUAGGAAAAACCAUCAGGAUUCAAAUGAAUCUUUUGUGAUAAAAACACUUUCUAAAAUAUACACCCCAGGGGUUGGGGAUUUAGCUCAGUGGUAGAGCGCUUGCCUAGCGAGCGCAAGGCCCUGGGUUCGGUCCCCAGCUCCGAAAAAAAAAAUACACCCCAAAAGAUAACUUUAGCGCCUGCUUUAGAUUUUAUUUUUGUCUAGUGAGUCAAGAAAUCAUUAUUUUAAUUUCGGAGGUAAAUAAAGCCCUCCUACCUCCUACUA
Molecule: long non-coding RNA, 1819 nt
Organism: Rattus norvegicus (Norway rat)
Lineage: Eukaryota; Metazoa; Chordata; Mammalia; Rodentia; Muridae
Source: RefSeq, a predicted model, not a curated record